UAUCUGACUCAGGGUACGCAUUUGGAUGGUUGGGUUGGGUAUCGGUGGUCGUCUCGGAUCCUUGAUAGACUUGGAAUGCCCACUACGACAAGGCCCCGGGUCAGUUCGAGUCACUCCAAGUCAUAGGUUAGAUAGUUUUUCUCAUGAGUAUUCAAUUGUCUCAAGGAAUAUGCAAUAUCCUUGUCUUUCUAAUCAACAGAUAAUCAAGAACAAAACCUAAAGUUUAAUAAUGAAAAGUAAUGUCUUCC
This 248-nucleotide long non-coding RNA is filed under the name Capsicum annuum. Its description in RNAcentral is "long non-coding RNA (CANN_LNC000792)". Lineage: Eukaryota; Viridiplantae; Streptophyta; Magnoliopsida; Solanales; Solanaceae. The record is from RNAcentral.